AUGCGCUCCAAUCCCGCCACGCCUGCGAAUCCCAGCGGGAGCAGAAAGCGUGGGCAUUACAAUUCCGCCAACAAGUCCCGCCGGAAGGGAGACACGGCGUACAGGUGCUCGCCUCACCUCAUCCCACCGAUGAUGAAGCUUCUCAGCGACGAGCAGAGAGGCUUUGUGAGAAAGAUUGGGUUUGGGAGCCUGCUGUCCAUGGCAGACUUCGAGAUGGACAGGGCCCUCACCCUGUGGCUGAUCGACAGGUUCAGCUGCGACACCGAGGCGCUCGAGUUCGAAGGCGACGUGUCGGUUCCGGUAAGGCCGCUCGUGGCGUCCGUCCUCGGGAUCCCUUCGGGCCCCAUCCAGGUCGUGGCGGGCCUCCACGUCGGCGACGCUCUCCGCACUCGGCACCGCUGUCUUAAAGGGAAGAACGCCGAGAAACUGGCCGAAGAAAUGCGCGGCAUGACCGAGGAGGAACCCUUCUGUAUGGCCUUCAUGAUGGUGAUACUUGCGAUCUAUCUCGCGCCGAACACGACCAAGCUUGUCAACCGGUACUUGUUUGGAGCCGCUCAACAGGUCGGCAGCCUCAAGCAGAUGGACUGGUGCGGCUUCGUUGCUGACUAUCUCUUCAGAGGAAUCAGGAAGUUCAAGGAAUCGGAAGCACCCUUUGUUUUUGUAAAGGGCUGUGUGCACAUCCUGAACGUCAUUUACGUUGAUCUUGUGAAACACGCUGCAUUUGAAGUGCCAAACGGCUUUCCACGCUUGGGCGUUGUCACCACAGAGCAUAACAAAUGGGUAGCUUCACAUCCCUUUGGUAGCUUGCUGGUGCGUCGUAUAGAAGAGUCUGUCUAUGCUCCCGUGCUCAAUAACAUGGGAAAUGGUAGCAUUGUUGAAGGCGGAACAUGUGCUGAUUCUGAUACAAAUACUGACGCUCUGGCCAAUCAGUUUGCUAUCACUGUCACCCAUCAAAAUAACCCGCAUCCGAUUUCAGCAUACCCUGGCCCUGCCAGAACAACCCCUGAUGUAACAAGCUUGGCCGGUGUUGAACAUGUAGCUUUAGAGACAUCAGCUCGAUCUGCAGGUUUUCCAAGAAGCCGCGAGCAAUUGCAGUCUGCUGGGCCUUCUUCACCGUGUUCUGCACAAAUUGCGGAGAAGACGCAGCUUGCGCCAGAAGCCACUUUGGGAAGGAACAGGGGUUCGCCGAAGGACGAUCGGACGCCCGAGAGGGCGAGGGUGGAGCUGCCCAACAGUGGGCAAGUAAAGCGAGCCGGAGAAGGCACCAUAAGGAUGGACAUGAGUUUGCUUAGUUGUCGCGUCUGCUACCACCCCGUCAAGCCCCCUGUCUUCCAGUGCAAUGUCGGGCAUUUAGCUUGCGGCACAUGCCUCGCGGAGCUCCCCGGCGAACAGUGCCCGAUCUGCGAGCAUGGCGGUGGCUUUAGCCGCUGUCCAGUGAUGGACGACGUCGUCUUGUCGAGCGAGAUGAAGUGCUCCUACGACGGCUGCCAGAGCUACGUCCCCUACCACGAGCUCGACGGCCACCAGAGAGUGUGCCCACACGCGCCCUGCUUCUGCAUGGAGCCCGGUUGCGGCUUCUGCGGCCCUCCACCGGCGCUCCUUGGCCACCUCAGUGCGGUGCACUCGGUGCCAGUGCAGAAGGUCCAGUACGGCAAUGUUCACCGGCUCCGGUUGUCGGAGGCGCAGUGCCUGCUCCAUGCGGAAGAGGACGACAGCGUGUUCCUCCUGGCCGUGGGCGCGCUCGGCAUGGCCACCGUCGUGUCUGCGGUGUGCAUCUGUGCGGGAGCGUCACUGGAGCCACGACACGCGGUCAAGCUCCGGGCGAACGGUCCGCCGCCACCGAGCAGCGCGGCGGGCAGCAUUCUGUUGGACACGAAGGCGGUGACGAACAGCAACAGACCCGGCGAGGUGGCCGUGGAGGAGCUGCCGUCUUUCUUGAUGGUGCCGCCUGCAUAUCUGGCUGGAUCUGGCGCGUCCGAGGUGUCCCUCGACGUUCGCAUUGACAGGGUGUGA
This 2013-nucleotide ribosomal RNA is filed under the name Triticum aestivum (bread wheat). Its description in RNAcentral is "partial small subunit ribosomal RNA". The record is from RNAcentral. Lineage: Eukaryota; Viridiplantae; Streptophyta; Magnoliopsida; Poales; Poaceae.